AGAAUAGUAUUUAAAAUCAAUAAAAGCUAAUUUGCAUUUAGCCAUUGCUUUCUUGCCUAUUCUA
RNAcentral lists this transfer RNA (64 nucleotides) under Carios vespertilionis. Its description in RNAcentral is "tRNA-Ala". Lineage: Eukaryota; Metazoa; Arthropoda; Arachnida; Ixodida; Argasidae. The record is from RNAcentral.